AUUGAACGCUGGCGGCAGGCCUAACACAUGCAAGUCGAGCGGAUGAAGGGAGCUUGCUCCUGGAUUCAGCGGCGGACGGGUGAGUAAUGCCUAGGAAUCUGCCUGGUAGUGGGGGAUAACGUCCGGAAACGGGCGCUAAUACCGCAUACGUCCUGAGGGAGAAAGUGGGGGAUCUUCGGACCUCACGCUAUCAGAUGAGCCUAGGUCGGAUUAGCUAGUUGGUGGGGUAAAGGCCUACCAAGGCGACGAUCCGUACUGGUCUGAGAGGAUGAUCAGUCACACUGGAACUGAGACACGGUCCAGACUCCUACGGGAGGCAGCAGUGGGGAAUAUUGGACAAUGGGCGAAAGCCUGAUCCAGCCAUGCCGCGUGUGUGAAGAAGGUCUUCGGAUUGUAAAGCACUUUAAGUUGGGAGGAAGGGCAGUAAGUUAAUACCUUGCUGUUUUGACGUUACCAACAGAAUAAGCACCGGCUAACUUCGUA
This 483-nucleotide ribosomal RNA is filed under the name uncultured bacterium. Its description in RNAcentral is "partial 16S ribosomal RNA". It matches the Rfam family "Bacterial small subunit ribosomal RNA", at positions 30 to 507 of the family's 1533-position model. The record is from RNAcentral.